AUGCAAUGAGAUUAUGGUGUAGGAAGCUGUGGAUUUUAAUUUAGGUGUUCUACUCGGAGUUCAUUUGGUUCAACUAUUAUUGUUAAAUGAGUUAUUGUGGAUAGAGAAAUCCCUAGUUUAAG
This is a long non-coding RNA of Ipomoea nil (Japanese morning glory), 122 nucleotides long. RefSeq lists it as uncharacterized. The transcript has 2 exons. The record is from RefSeq and is a predicted model, not a curated record. Lineage: Eukaryota; Viridiplantae; Streptophyta; Magnoliopsida; Solanales; Convolvulaceae.